GGGGCAUUAGCGCAGUUGGGAGCGCGCCACAAUGGCAUUGUGGAGGUCACCGGUUCGAGCCCGGUAUGCUCCACCA
This 76-nucleotide transfer RNA is filed under the name Clostridia bacterium. RNAcentral describes it as "tRNA-Ala". It matches the Rfam family "tRNA". From Rfam's summary of the family: Transfer RNA (tRNA) molecules are approximately 80 nucleotides in length. The record is from RNAcentral. Lineage: Bacteria; Bacillati; Bacillota; Clostridia.